CACUCGGGGACCCAAAGGAUUUGCGCUUGCCUCGCCAAUAAUAUCCUCUUUAAAUUAGCAGCAAAGGAAUGCCCUUUUGUUUGAUAUUACACUAGCAAAGCACCCAUAGCUUCAUCAUGACAUAAUAUGGUUAAUUUUAUUCGUAUAGUUUAUACCUUUGUCUUUUCUUUAUUGGAUUGCCAAUGUGAGAUUAAGAAUGUGUUGCAUGUGAUGGGAG
RNAcentral lists this unclassified non-coding RNA (217 nucleotides) under Hevea brasiliensis (rubber tree). Lineage: Eukaryota; Viridiplantae; Streptophyta; Magnoliopsida; Malpighiales; Euphorbiaceae. The record is from RNAcentral.